AGCGAACGCUGGCGGCGGGCCUAACACAUGCAAGUCGAACGGAUCCUUCGGGAUUAGUGGCGGACGGGUGAGUAACACGUGGGAACGUGCCCUUUGGUUCGGAACAACUCAGGGAAACUUGAGCUAAUACCGGAUAAGCCCUUCGGGGGAAAGAUUUAUCGCCAUUGGAGCGGCCCGCGUAGGAUUAGCUAGUUGGUGGG
This 200-nucleotide ribosomal RNA is filed under the name uncultured bacterium. RNAcentral's name for it is "partial 16S ribosomal RNA". It matches the Rfam family "Bacterial small subunit ribosomal RNA", at positions 29 to 256 of the family's 1533-position model. The record is from RNAcentral.